UACGUAGGGACCAAGCGUUGUUCGGAUUUACUGGGCGUAAAGGGCGCGUAGGCGGCAAUUCAAGUCAUCUGUGAAAUCUCCGGGCUUAACUCGGAACGGUCAGAUGAUACUGCUUUGCUAGAGUGCGGAAGGGGCAAUCGGAAUUCUUGGUGUAGCGGUGAAAUGCGUAGAUAUCAAGAGGAACACCUGAGGUGAAGACGGGUUGCUGGGCCGACACUGACGCUGAAGCGCGAAAGCCAGGGGAGCGAACGGG
This 253-nucleotide ribosomal RNA is filed under the name uncultured bacterium. Its description in RNAcentral is "partial 16S ribosomal RNA". It matches the Rfam family "Bacterial small subunit ribosomal RNA", at positions 524 to 776 of the family's 1533-position model. The record is from RNAcentral.